AGCACUCGUCUUUUUGUUGUUUUUAUUCUUCUUUUCUUCUCGAACCUUCAGAUGAAACUCUCAGGCAGGUCCGGAUCAUGGUCCCGGUGAGUCCGACGCGUAAAAACCAAACAGUCUCCACUCCGCGGAUCAAUGAACUGGAUUAAUGAGUGAAUGUUACCGGGGAAGAAGGGAUCAGAGUCCUUUUCAUUCACUCUUUCUUCUUCCUCUCCUUCAGAGGGAACCUCCGAGCGCCGGCGUGCAGCUCCGGAUCAUGGUCCCGGCGUCUCCGGCGCGCACGGUCUCCUCUUCCCUCACUCUCCGGCUCUCGCGGGGAUCAGCGGAUCAGAGGAUGGAAGAGCUGCUAAUUUCUCCGACCGAGGACGGACAGCUCGGCCGUGAUUGAGCUCUUCUCUCCGGGUGCAGGAGCUCCGGACUCUCCGCUCUCACUCGGGCACCGCCGCCGGCUCUCCAUCCGAGGAACACAUCCCGGUCCCCGCGGCUCUCCUCCCGCCUGAUGGUGCCUCCCGGUGGGUCGGUGAGGGGGUGUCUGAUGAGGGAUCAACGGACCUAAAGGAGAGCAGUCAGACGGUCGGUCAGUCACUCACUCGGGGAGCGCGCGGCUCUCAGCAGCACGAGCUCGGCAAUGACAUUGGUGAGAUAGAAGAGCAGCAGCAGCAGCAGCAGCAGAGCCAAGUGUGUGUCGGUAUGUCGGCGAGCGCCUGCGUGUGCAUGGAUGUGUGUGCGUGUGUGUGUGUGUGCGGUGUCCUCUGCGCUCGAGAGAGAGAGAGAGAGAGAGAGGGAGAGAGAGAUUGAGUGAUAGCGCUGUUUGUUCAGCAGGAGGACAUUUCCUCUGCCUUUAUAGAGCUGAACACUCGGAACUGGACUUCAGAUUUCAGAAUGUCGAGAAUAAAGAGUCUGAGAUUUCUGCAUCUUCGCUCUUUUUAAAACAGCAUCAAGUCUUCAAACGUGGAGAAAAACCUACAGAAGUUUCCAGCAGAGAGCAGAAAAGAAGAAAAACUUCAGAAAUCAACAUUUUUCUUAAACUUUAACCCAAAAUCCUUCCUGCGAGAAAGAGUCUCCUCUUUCUGUCUCCGUGCGUAAAAACAUCUCCAACCGGAGGAACAAACUGACCUCAGCUUUAUUUUAAAGUUUAUUAGAAAUAAAAUAGAAGGUCUGAUUUAUCUCAGUUUCUUUUCUGUCUUAUUUUAGUGGAAGCUGAUUUUGGAAACAGAUGGAGAAGUGCAGGUUUGCGCCAUAAAAGGACGCAGACUCGGAGCAGUUUGCGUAAAUAAAAGAGUUUGUGUGUUUUUCUGUAUCUCUGAGCUCAGCAGCAGCUCCUCUCUGCUCCUCUCUGCGCUCACUGGAGCUCCGUGUGUGAUCAGACUCCCCAAUAAACUCAUAUUCAC
Molecule: non-coding RNA, 1388 nt
Organism: Xyrichtys novacula (pearly razorfish)
Lineage: Eukaryota; Metazoa; Chordata; Actinopteri; Labriformes; Labridae
Source: the annotation of a GenBank genome assembly